CCUGACAGUCGUGCGCAGACCAACUCCCUCCUUCUCCUUGGGCCAAGGUCCAUUAGGCCAGCAUCAGUUUGUUCCGCCCGUCUGGCCCAUAGCAGAGCCGGCCCAACUGCACGGACGCCGAGAAGACCCCAAGCCAAGACUACUACUUCUCCUUGUGCACCACCUUGCCCGGCCCGUGUCGUCCAUACCGUCGCAAAAUUCUACAGGGCAAAGCAAAAAACGAAAGGCCUUCACUACAGCAUGCGCGUUCAGGAUUUAGGCUCCCAGCGUGCACACCUCUCUUCUAGCACAAAAGAUUUGUAUCGCAAAAAAAAAAAACCCUCAGCAGCCUCUUCACCAACUUUGGCACCCUCCCCACCGUCCCGCUGCGGGCACCCUCUUCCCCUCCCGAGUGAUGUAGCCGAGACUCAAAACUUGAGUAUUCUCAUAGGUAAUUAAAGUCACAAAAAUAGUUGAAUAAUAAAUUGUUCAGCUAAUCAGCUCUAAAAUAUGCAUGAAAUAAACUGAUAAGUAAUAAUGAGAACUUACAAAUAUUAUAAUGUCGCUUUAAUCCUACAAUUCUUUAUGGUUUGGAAGCGG
This 579-nucleotide long non-coding RNA is filed under the name Sorghum bicolor (sorghum). RNAcentral describes it as "long non-coding RNA (SBIC_LNC009884)". Lineage: Eukaryota; Viridiplantae; Streptophyta; Magnoliopsida; Poales; Poaceae. The record is from RNAcentral.